RNAcentral lists this microRNA (22 nucleotides) under Equus caballus (horse). RNAcentral's name for it is "eca-miR-9114". Lineage: Eukaryota; Metazoa; Chordata; Mammalia; Perissodactyla; Equidae. The record is from miRBase by way of RNAcentral.
AGGGCCUCACCAUUCUAGCUCU